AGUCGAACGGCAGCACAGCAGUAGCAAUACUGUGGGUGGCGAGUGGCGGACGGGUGAGUAAUGCAUCGGGACCUACCUAGACGUGGGGGAUAACGUAGGGAAACUUACGCUAAUACCGCAUACGUCCUACGGGAGAAAGCAGGGGACCUUCGGGCCUUGCGCGGUUAGACGGACCGAUGUUCGAUUAGCUAGUUGGUAGGGUAAUGGCCUACCAAGGCGACGAUCGAUAGCUGGUCUGAGAGGAUGAUCAGCCACACUGGAACUGAGACACGGUCCAGACUCCUACGGGAGGCAGCAGUGGGGAAUAUUGGACAAUGGGCGCAAGCCUGAUCCAGCAAUGCCGCGUGUGUGAAGAAGGCCUUCGGGUUGUAAAGCACUUUUAUCAGGAGCGAAACGCUGUCGGCUAAUACCCGGCGGAACUGACGGUACCUGAGGAAUAAGCACCGGCUAACUUCGUGCCAGCAGCCGCGGUAAUACGAAGGGUGCAAGCGUUAAUCGGAAUUACUGGGCGUAAAGCGUGCGUAGGCGGUUUGUUAAGUCUGUUGUGAAAUCCCCGGGCUCAACCUGGGAAUGGCAAUGGAUACUGGCAAGCUAGAGUGUGAUAGAGGAUGGUGGAAUUCCCGGUGUAGCGGUGAAAUGCGUAGAGAUCGGGAGGAACAUCAGUGGCGAAGGCGGCCAUCUGGAUCAACACUGACGCUGAGGCACGAAAGCGUG
Molecule: ribosomal RNA, 714 nt
Filed under: uncultured Gammaproteobacteria bacterium
Lineage: Bacteria; Pseudomonadati; Pseudomonadota; Gammaproteobacteria
Description: bacterial SSU rRNA
Rfam family: Bacterial small subunit ribosomal RNA
Source: RNAcentral